This 253-nucleotide ribosomal RNA is filed under the name uncultured bacterium. RNAcentral describes it as "partial 16S ribosomal RNA". It matches the Rfam family "Bacterial small subunit ribosomal RNA", at positions 524 to 776 of the family's 1533-position model. The record is from RNAcentral.
UACGGAGGGGGCGAGCGUUGUCCGAAGUUACUGGGCGUAAAGCGCGCGUAGGCGGGUUGGUAAGUCCGCUGUGAAAGCCCGGAGCUCAACUCCGGAGGGUCGGUGGAUACUGCCAGUCUUGAAGGUGCUAGGGGGAGAUGGAAUUACCGGUGUAGCGGUGAAAUGCGUAGAUAUCGUCAGGAAUGCCGGUGGUGAAGACGGGUGACUGGGCUGGUUCUGACACUGAGGCACGAAAGCGUGGGGAGCGAACGGG